CUGCUGCCUCCCGUAGGAGUCUGGUCCGUGUCUCAGUACCAGUGUGGGGGACCUUCCUCUCAGAACCCCUAGACAUCGUCGCCUUGGUGGGCCGUUACCCCGCCAACUAGCUAAUGUCACGCAUGCCCAUCCGUCUCCGGAGUCGCCUCCUUUGGCCGAAAGAAGAUGCCUCCCCUCGGCCACAUGCGGUAUUAGGCCGGAUUUCUCCGGGUUAUCCCGCUGAAACCGGGCAGGUUGCAUACGCGUUACUCACCCGUGCGCCGGUCGCCGG
RNAcentral lists this ribosomal RNA (271 nucleotides) under uncultured bacterium. RNAcentral describes it as "partial 16S ribosomal RNA". The record is from RNAcentral.